This 411-nucleotide long non-coding RNA is filed under the name Calidris pugnax (ruff). RNAcentral's name for it is "lncRNA (ENSCPUG00000011547.1)". The record is from RNAcentral. Lineage: Eukaryota; Metazoa; Chordata; Aves; Charadriiformes; Scolopacidae.
AAUUAUUUUCCCCUGAGGGUGAAGAGAAGGAGGAGAAGCAGCAACAUCUCCAGAGGGUUGCCAGUGCUCCGGCAAUUCAUCUGCGGUUUAGAGGGCAGAGUGACCCAUCCUCGGGAAGACGCGUAGGUUGCAGCUUCCAGAGUGGGAAGAUGGAUAUGUGCCAUGAGUAAUACAUAAGGGACCGGGUGACAAGAUCUAUGAAGAUGGGGGUGUCUGGAGUUUCCCUGGAGGCACCGAGUGCUAUGAAGAAGAUGAGAAUCAUCUCGGAGGUCACACUGCUCUGUAACCAGUUCACCUGCCAGAAGCCAGCACUCCCAGCUCUGCAGCUGAUCAUAUGCAAUGAAACCCUGGGCAGGUAGAUGAGGACUUGGGCAACUCCUUCAAAGUUGCCCCAUGAAAGAGACAGCAAGG